This 298-nucleotide unclassified non-coding RNA is filed under the name uncultured Conocybe. RNAcentral describes it as "sequence contains ITS2". The stretch from base 1 to 52 matches the Rfam family "5.8S ribosomal RNA", at positions 103 to 154 of the family's 154-position model. Lineage: Eukaryota; Fungi; Basidiomycota; Agaricomycetes; Agaricales; Bolbitiaceae. The record is from RNAcentral.
AACGCACCUUGCGCUCCUUGGUAUUCCGAGGAGCAUGCCUGUUUGAGUGUCAUUAAAUUCUCAAUCUCUACAACUUCUGUUGUUUAGUAGAUUGGAUGUGGAGGCUCUUUGUGUGGGAUGCAAAUCCUUCACUCCUCUUAAACAUAUUAGCUGGAAUGCCUCUGCAUAUCUGACUAUCAGUGUGAUAAUUAUCUAUGCUGUAGUUGUUGCAUGAGGGUAUCUGCUUCAUUAAUCGUCGCAAGACAACUCUAAUGACCAUCUUGACCUCAAAUCAGGUAGGACUACCCGCUGAACUUAA